RNAcentral lists this long non-coding RNA (6124 nucleotides) under Sus scrofa (pig). Its description in RNAcentral is "lncRNA (ENSSSCG00050052561.1)". The record is from RNAcentral. Lineage: Eukaryota; Metazoa; Chordata; Mammalia; Artiodactyla; Suidae.
GCGGCGGGGGCGGGCGGCCCGGCCGGUCGGGCGGGUGCGGAAGGCGCGCUGGGCCCGGGCUGGGUCCGAGCGUCCUGCGGGGGCCAUGGAGGGGCUGCGGCGGGGUCUGUCGCGCUGGAAGCGCUACCACAUCAAGGUGCACCUGGCGGACGAGGCGCUGCUGCUGCCGCUCACCGUGCGGCCGCGCGACACGCUCAGCGACCUGCGCGCCCAGCUCGUGGGCCAGGGCGUGAGCUCCUGGAAGCGCACCUUCUACUACAACGCGCGGCGGCUGGACGACCACCAGACUGUGCGCGACGUGCGCCUGCAGGACGGCUCGGUGCUGCUGCUCGUCAGCGACCCCAGGUAGUCUGGGUUGGAGGACAUGGAGCCAUGACCAGGGGGAACAGGGGUGCUGGCUGAAGGAGGAGGCUGAGGUGGGGGCAUCUCCCAGGAGCCUUGACCUCACUCUAGGUUCUGGGCUCCCAGGGUGGAUGGUGAAACACUGGCCAGCUGAUACCCACUGCCUGGGACACUCCUGAUGGAGCCCCAGUCCCUGACAUUGACCUAGGAUGUUGCCGCUCCGGCCCAGCCAGCCUUCCAGCUGUGCCCUCUGAUUCUGAAGCCACUGCUCCCACCUUAGGGCUUCAAAUGCUGGGUCUACAGUGGGAACCAUCAUGGAACCUUGGGAGACAGCCAGAGGAUGUCACAUGAAGAGAAGCACAGCGGGGAGAGGAGAGGAGGUUGGGGAUGUCACCUCGCCUGCCUCUACAUUCUCUCCUCCACGCCUCUGCCCAAGCUGUUCUCCCUGCCUGAAGCACCUUUCACAUCCCUCUCUGCAAGCUCCAGGCCACCUGGGAUUCCAGCCUCCUCCAGGAAGCCUUCUCGGAUGCCCUCCUCCCCAGCCAGUGAGCAACUUAACCUCUUCUGGGCCCCCACCAGACCCCUCUACUGUGAACAGCCUUGGCUAGGGGUGCGGCCAGACACUCAUGAAAUCUCAGAUGACUAGAGGAGACUGGGGAACCCCAACCGUCUCUCAGUGCUUGAGGGUCACACUGGGCCCCUCCCCCAACCUAAUCACCCGUUGUACCCGUGCUGCCCCUGCCCUACCCCCUGCGACAAUGACUGUCAGGUUAAAUCCCAGAGCUGUGGCCCCUGCACGGGGUCUUCUGGCUGUGUCUGAAGGGCUCUGGAUGAGUGGGUGGGGAUUGGAGGGGGUGGUCUGUGCCUGGCAGAGAGCUGAGACAUUGAUGCUAAUCGUGGGAUUAUUCCAGGCAGUGUGUUGUAGAAAUUCUGGGUACAAGACCCUCCAGAUGGAACGCUGGGCCUCAGCUGGAUUUUUGAUCUGUGGCCACGAGGCGUUGGAUCCUCUAAGCAGACCCCAGGGGUGGGGGCACUGGGCCUGCCAGUGCCCUCCAGGUGUUGGUGUCACAGGGCAGAGCCUGGGGAGCCUGGGAAGAAAUAAUGUUUUAAUUAAGAGUCGUGUUGGCCGCAGGGCCCGGAGCGGGGACAGGUGGAUAAUAAAUCGUGGCUGCGGGGAGACCCGGGCCCAGACCGUGUGUUUACCUAUCAUGGGGUGGGGAGGGCACCAGCCUGCCAGACUCUGCUCACCUCCCCUCAGCAGAGCCUCUCUGGGCUGGCAUCUGUCCUCCUGGGGCCAAGUAGCCUAGACCCCUGCUCCUGCCUGGUUUUGGCCUCGGGGGUCCCUGGACCACAUGCAAAUAACUAAUCUACAGGCCCUGGGACUCCCCUGUUUGCACAAUCCCCUGCAAACCCUGGGGACCUGCCUCCUAGGGCCCAACAGGAGAGUUGGGUUUGUAAUAGUCACCACAGCUCCAUUCCUGGGCUCCCACUACACUGCCAGGGCCUGGGCAACAUCCUUGCCUGGCCUUGAGUUGCACUGGUCUGCCAACUGAGAGGCUUGGUGAUGGUGGUGAUGAUUGCUGCCCAUUUUACAGAUGGGGUGUCCAAGGUCAUCCCCCCCUCUUUUGGGCUACUUCCUCUGCAGCCCCCUAAUUGAGGGGUCCCAGUCCAUUCAGCAGAGGUCUAUGAUGGAGGAAAAGAGAGGAUUUCUUGCUUCUUGGCUGAGGUGGGGGUGGGAGAAAGCAUUUUCAGGCCGUUUUGACAUUUAACAAACACUAUGCAAAUCGCAUGCAAAUCACAUGCAAAUCAUCACCCAUUUCUUAAACCUCGACAGCUCCAGCGUGUUCUGAAAUAAUAAUGUUGGACCUGUCCCUUGGCGUUGGCCUCGAGGAGGGGUACAAAGCCUUCCUUUCCUUCCCUCCUUUCUUCCUUCCCCUUCCCUUCCCUCUGUUUCCUUUCUUCCUUCCUUUCCUUCCAUCCCUACCUUCCUUUUUUUCUGUUAUCUCUUUACUCCCUUUACAUUAUUUGUUGAAGGCCUCCCAGUUCUGAGAUGAAUACAAAUAGCAAAAGUGGCUUCUGUAGUUCCCGCUUUCCAAAUGGGGAAACAGACACAGAGAAGCACAAGCCUGGCCUGAGAUUCCACAACCACAUUGUGGAAAGCGUCCCCCACCAAGUGCUGUUGUGGACCAACACUGGAUGGUAACUGUGACCUUAGGUGGAGAGACAACAGUGGCUGGAGCAAGCUUAACAGGGCUCGGAGGAACCAAGGAAAAUUGUCCUUGGGUUUCUUGGCCUUGAAGGGCAGGCUGCCAGGCUUGGAUCUGGAGAAAUCUGACCUUGACGGGUCUUACUCCUCAAGUCUUUCUUUCUCCAGCUACUCCAUCAGCAAACUCUGAAUUUGGCCCACAACCUCUCUGCUUAGUUUGCAUGCCCUACUUUUUCUGUUCGCAAACUCCUAUUCAUCCUUUGAAGCCCUAGCUCCAAGGCCCCCUUCUUUAUGCAGCCAUCUCUGAUCCUCCAAGAAGAGCUGCCACUUCUCUUUGGGCUUCUGUUGCUCCAGAUCUCUCUCUCUCUCUCUGAUCCAGGGCUGACCCUUUUGGUCCAGGGCUGCCCACUCUGGCUUGAUUCCAGCACUUGUCUGAUUAUUAUACACCUUGAAACUUGUAUUCUAAACCUAGAUCUUUUCUGAUCUUUUUCACCUGGCCUACUCCUACAUUUUCAAGGUCUGGCACUAAUGCCCACCUCUGUGUAAACUGUACAGCUCUCUCCUAGUUGGCUUCUGGGUCUACAGCCUCCAGCUCUCCUGGCUUGUUUCUGACCCAUGGAACGGGGAGGUGUGUGUGUCCUUCAAGUCUUAGGACUUGCCUCUGCAGCCCCAGGAUCAUCCAGGUUGGGACUGGGUACAGAGGGACUGAGUUGGAGUGUCUAUGAAUAAAUGAUUAAGUGUCUGGAAACAAAGCCAAGUUCACUCCCUAACUUGGCCUUGGGCUUCACUCUCCAUGACAGUUCAGCCCUAAGUGUGCCCUUCGCCCUUCCCUCUCCCUCACCUCCAGGCUUCUGUACCUCUGCCAGGAAUGGUUUUCCCUUGACUCCUAUUUUGGGGGACCCCAAGCCAGCCCUUUCCCAUUUCUGGCCUGUGAAAAGGGGAGAAGCCCGCCCCCCUCAUGGCCUCUCACGAUCCUGACUCCACCCCAGGAGCAAGUCUGGGCUGCAAGGAGUUUCGGGUGAGACUUGGCAGCCACCCUCUCUCGCUGAGGCCUGCAGCGUCUGGGGAGGGGCCACCUCCCGCCUUGGCUGCCCACUGACUUUGUGCUCCCAGAAGUUCCAUGGGAGUUGUCCUGGGGGGAAAUAAAUCCAGGCGGGUCCCAGAGGAGGCAUCUAGGGCUCAGCCAGAAACUAUAGGCACCUGGACUUCCUGCUUUAGUUCUGCUCUGCACUCCCCCGACCCCCAUCCCCAGGACUCCAGGCUGGAUUCUGGUGUUUGCUAACUCUGUCCAUUAGCCCAACAGGCAUUUAUUGAGUGCCCUCUGUGUACCCAGUUCUGGCUGCCAGAUAUACUAAGACAGAUCCUGCGUUUGGCUGCCAUAGAUGGUGGAGCCAGUUGUUCACUGCACAAAAGCAUCCAGCUGAGGAAUUCCUGUCGUGGUGCAGUGGAAAUGAAUCUGACUAGGAACCAUGAGGUUGCGGAUUUGAUCCCUAGCCUCGCUAAGUGGGUUAAGGAUCCGGUGUUGCCGUGAGCUGUGGUGUAAGUUGCAGACAUGGCUCGGAUACUGUGUUGCUGUGGCUGUGGUGUAGGCCGGCGGCUACAGCUCCAAUUCAACCCCUAGCCUGAGAACCCCCAUAUGCUGCAGGUGUGGCCCUAAAAGGACAAAAGACAAAAAAAAAAAAAAAAAAAAAAAAAAAAAAGCAUCCAGCUGGGGUGAGAGGAAGGGGGAAGGGGAAUCUUUUUGUAAUUCACACAAAGUCUCCUAUACAAGUUAGUGGUGGUCCUGACCUUGUUGCCUCUCUUUCUCUCUUUGUCUUCAUCUGUCUGUGUGUCCCACUUAGUCACUUUUUCACAUAUCUGCCCCCCCAUCUAUUACUCUGUGUGCUCCCUGCUUUUUUUCCCACACCCACGGCAUGCAGAAGUUUUGGGACCAGGGAUCAAACUCCCACCACCGCAGUGACCUGUGCCACAGCAGUGACAAUGCUAGAUCCUUAACCAUUAGGCCACCAGGGAACUCCAAUCUGUCUGUGUCUCUUGAACUCUGCUGCUCUACUCUCUCUACCUCUCCCUCUGUCUCUUUUUUCCUCCCUGUCUCUGGCAGUUUCUCUCUCUCCCUGUCUCUUUCUUUCUCUCCAUACCCCUGUAUCUGUCUCUCAUAUCCCCUCUCCAAAAGGAUACCCUUUUCCUCCAAUUUGCAGGACACUGAGGUGACCAGGACAUACACAGCAUGGCACUCAUGGUGACCAAGACACACACAGCUCUUGGCACUCAUGGGGCUUGAGGUCCAGCAGAAGAGACAGAAGUUGCAGGGUGGGGCUGCUCUUGGGAUCCUGGAAACCCCCCCUCUCUGGGCUUCCGUUUGCCCACCUACCCAACUAGGGAGGUUUUUAGGGUGGCCGGGUCAGGAGCUGCUUGCUUGGCCUAGGCUGUUUGUUGGCAGAGAGAUUCUGACUCAUCCCCACGCCCAAAUGGUUUGAAAGAAUCCUCCCAGGGGAAAACAGUUGUAAGAAAAAACAAAACACAAAAUCAGAGUCACCAGCCCAGGCUGCUGUCUGACUCAAUGAGGGGUGAAAGUAUCUACAUUGCCAUCCCCCAGAUCAUCAGAGAAAUUUCCUGCCUCUUCCCCUGAUGGCCCCUGGCUGUCUACUGAAGGCUUCUGGCGUCACAAUGAUGACUCCAGGCCUGGCACUGGCCUCACACUUGUGCUCUGAGCUCCAGACCCACUUCACCCUGUGCCAGGGCCACAAGUGGAAGAAACUCUUUCCAGCCACAGGGUCUUUGCGUGUACUCUUUCUACCUCUGGAGGACUCUCUCCCCACCCCUCAUCUUUCAUCCUCUGAUUUUCAGGUUCAAUGUCACUUCCUUCAGGAGGCUCUAAACAAUCACGUUCCCUUGGUUUUGCAUUCACUCAUUAUCCUGUGAUUUUCCUUUGUAGCAUUAAUUAUUUAUAUUAUUAUUCAUUCAGUGUAUUAUUUUUCCUACUAGCCUCUGGGCACCAUGAAGGCUGGACGAGGUCUGGUCUGGUCACUGCUGGAUCACGCAGCACUUAAUAACCCAGAGUAAGGGAGUGGUAGCCAGAAACACCCUCCCUUCCCAGGCUCAAUGAGGACCCGCUGCCCCAGUUGUUGUCACUCCCGUGUCCAGCUCCAGGUGGCUGCAGGGCGCAGAGGCUUAGGAUUGGGAUUCUGGGCACUCUGGCUCCUGCCGCUUUGAUAAAUGGGGGAAAUUCAGAAUUAAUUAUUGACUGCUACACCGAACCAGCCUGAUCUGGACAGAUAAAGAGUGUCCUCACUGCUGCGUCUGUCCAAUAGUUCUAGGGAGUUUAUUAGAGGUCGGAAGGCAGCUGGCUGAGGGGACAGGUCCAGAAAGCACUGGAGCCAGAUGGAGCUGGGUGCAAAGACUGGCUCUGCUGGGCCACUUUGGGCCAUCGACUUUCCCUCUCUGAGCCUCGGUUUUCUCAUUUGGACAAAGGGAAGAGAAAACAUCCUUGUCUGUUGGGACAAAUUUGUUGGGGGAAUCACUUUGAGUUAAUAGAGUGUGCACACAGUGGGUAUCCAAUAAAUGUUGCUGAAUUGG